AACGAACGCUGGCGGCAUGCCUAACACAUGCAAGUCGAACGAGACCUUUUAGGUCUAGUGGCGCACGGGUGCGUAACGCGUGGGAAUCUGCCCCAAGGUUCGGAAUAACUCAGGGAAACUUGAGCUAAUACCGGAUAAUGUCUUCGGACCAAAGGUUUACUGCCUUGGGAUGAGCCCGCGUAGGAUUAGCUAGUUGGUGGGGUAAAGGCUCACCAAGGCGACGAUCCUUAGCUGGUCNGAGAGGAUGAUCAGCCACACUGGGACUGAGACACGGCCCAGACUCCUACGGGAGGCAGCAGUGGGGAAUAUUGGACAAUGGGCGAAAGCCUGAUCCAGCAAUGCCGCGUGAGUGAUGAAGGCCUUAGGGUUGUAAAGCUCUUUCAGUAGGGAAGAUAAUGACGGUACCUACAGAAGAAGCCCCGGCUAACUUCGUGCCAGCCGCCGCUGU
Molecule: ribosomal RNA, 448 nt
Filed under: uncultured bacterium
Lineage: Bacteria
Description: bacterial SSU rRNA
Rfam family: Bacterial small subunit ribosomal RNA
Source: RNAcentral